RNAcentral lists this long non-coding RNA (225 nucleotides) under Ictidomys tridecemlineatus (thirteen-lined ground squirrel). RNAcentral's name for it is "lncRNA (ENSSTOG00000031275.1)". Lineage: Eukaryota; Metazoa; Chordata; Mammalia; Rodentia; Sciuridae. The record is from RNAcentral.
AUGAUCAACAGACAAGUAAUUAAUCAAAGCAUCGGACACGUUCCCAAUGUCAAAAAGAGUGUAACCUAUCAUCUGACUCCUGAGAAAGCAUGGAAUGAGAGAAAGCAGCAGUGUGCACAUCCUGUGAAGUCCAGAAGCUGGAGCAGACGCCCAGAGGACAGAGCUCCGCCGUCUGGGUGGCCUUCUUCAUCUCUAGCAGAUGAACUGACUGCUCUGGAGUCCUGA